AUUGAACGCUGGCGGCAGGCCUAACACAUGCAAGUCGAAUGGUAACAGGAAACAGCUUGCUGUUUCGCUGACGAGUGGCGGACGGGUGAGUAAUGUCUGGGAAACUGCCUGAUGGAGGGGGAUAACUACUGGAAACGGUAGCUAAUACCGCAUAACGUCGCAAGCCCAAAGAGGGGGACCUUCGGGCCUCUUGCCAUCAGAUGUGCCCAGAUGGGAUUAGCUAGUAGGUGGGGUAACGGCUCACCUAGGCGACGAUCCCUAGCUGGUCUGAGAGGAUGACCAGCCACACUGGAACUGAGACACAGUCCAGACUCCUACGGGAGGCAGCAGUGGGGAAUAUUGCACAAUGGGCGCAAGCCUGAUGCAGCCAUGCCGCGUGUAUGAAGAAGGCCUUCGGGUUGUAAAGUACUUUCAGCGGGGAGGAAGGGAGUAAAGUUAAUACCUUUGCUCAUUGACGUUACCCGCAGAAGAAGCACCGGCUAACUCCGUG
This 490-nucleotide ribosomal RNA is filed under the name uncultured bacterium. RNAcentral's name for it is "partial 16S ribosomal RNA". It matches the Rfam family "Bacterial small subunit ribosomal RNA", at positions 30 to 507 of the family's 1533-position model. The record is from RNAcentral.